AUACGGAGGGGGCAAGCGUUGUUCGGAAUUACUGGGCGCAAAGCGCGCGUAGGCGGUCUGUUUAGUCAGGCGUGAAAUCCCUGGGCUCAACCCAGGAACUGCGUUUGAAACUGGCGGACUAGAGUUCGGGAGAGGAGAGUGGAAUUCCCAGUGUAGAGGUGAAAUUCGUAGAUAUUGGGAAGAACACCAGUGGCGAAGGCGGCUCUCUGGACCGAUACUGACGCUGAGGUGCGAAAGCGUGGGGAGCAAACAGGAUUAGAAACCCUAGUAGUCC
RNAcentral lists this ribosomal RNA (274 nucleotides) under uncultured bacterium. RNAcentral describes it as "partial 16S ribosomal RNA". It matches the Rfam family "Bacterial small subunit ribosomal RNA", at positions 523 to 796 of the family's 1533-position model. The record is from RNAcentral.